Molecule: non-coding RNA, 125 nt
Organism: Pelobates cultripes (western spadefoot toad)
Lineage: Eukaryota; Metazoa; Chordata; Amphibia; Anura; Pelobatidae
Source: the annotation of a GenBank genome assembly
UAUAUACAUAGAAAGGAUGCACUCUCUGGUCUUCAAGAAUUCAUCAUUUUAUUGCAUACUGCUUAAUGGAAUAAAUAACUUUAUAAUUCUUGAAGACCGGAGAGUGCAUCCUUUCUAUGUAUAUA